RNAcentral lists this long non-coding RNA (266 nucleotides) under Homo sapiens (human). RNAcentral's name for it is "HSALNT0364435". The record is from RNAcentral. Lineage: Eukaryota; Metazoa; Chordata; Mammalia; Primates; Hominidae.
CUUCUCUCUCCUGCUGCCUUGUGAAGAAGGUGCCUGCCUCCUCUCACCUUCCUCCAUAAUCAUAAGUUUCCUGAGGCCACCCCAGCCAUAUGGAACUACCUGCUUCCAUAAUGCUGGGUACCUGUCCAAUGGCUGAUUCCAGCUCUUCUGCCAGAGAGGACUGGAACCUGGUUCAAGCUGAACAAUUCUGUAUGGAGGGGAUGCAGAAUGCCAGCAGAGGACUUUCUGCCUAACAGGUCCAGCAUAGAUACCUGCGUCACCUGCGG